AAUCCAUAGGUUAAUGAGGCGAACCGGGGGAACUGAAACAUCUAAGUACCCCGAGGAAAAGAAAUCAACCGAGAUUCCCCCAGUAGCGGCGAGCGAACGGGGAGGAGCCCAGAGCCUGAAUCAGCAUGUGUGUUAGUGGAAGCGUCUGGAAAGGCGCGCGAUACAGGGUGACAGCCCCGUACACAAAAGCGCAUGUGCUGUGAGCUCGAUGAGUAGGGCGGGACACGUGGUAUCCUGUCUGAAUAUGGGGGGACCAUCCUCCAAGGCUAAAUACUCCUGACUGACCGAUAGUGAACCAGUACCGUGAGGGAAAGGCGAAAAGAACCCCGGCGAGGGGAGUGAAAAAGAACCUGAAACCGUGUACGUACAAGCAGUGGGAGCACAGGUUUACCUGUGUGACUGCGUACCUUUUGUAUAAUGGGUCAGCGACUUAUAUUCUGUAGCAAGGUUAACCGAAUAGGGGAGCCGGAGGGAAACCGAGUCUUAACCGGGCGUUAAGUUGCAGGGUAUAGACCCGAAACCCGGUGAUCUAGCCAUGGGCAGGUUGAAGGUUGGGUAACACUAACUGGAGGACCGAACCGACUAAUGUUGAAAAAUUAGCGGAUGACCUGUGGCUGGGGGUGAAAGGCCAAUCAAACCGGGAGAUAGCUGGUUCUCCCCGAAAGCUAUUUAGGUAGCGCCUCGUGAAUUCAUCUCCGGGGGUAGAGCACUGUUUCGGCUAGGGGGCCAUCCCGGCUUACCAACCCGAUGCAAACUGCGAAUACCGGAGAAUGUUAUCACGGGAGACACACGGCGGGUGCUAACGUCCGUCGUGAAGAGGGAAACAACCCAGACCGCCAGCUAAGGUCCCAAAGUCAUGGUUAAGUGGGAAACGAUGUGGGAAGGCCCAGACAGCCAGGAUGUUGGCUUAGAAGCAGCCAUCAUUUAAAGAAAGCGUAAUAGCUCACUGGUCGAGUCGGCCUGCGCGGAAGAUGUAACGGGGCUAAACCAUGCACCGAAGCUGCGGCAGCGACACUGUGUGUUGUUGGGUAGGGGAGCGUUCUGUAAGCCUGCGAAGGUGGCCUGUGAGGGUUGCUGGAGGUAUCAGAAGUGCGAAUGCUGACAUAAGUAACGAUAAAGCGGGUGAAAAGCCCGCUCGCCGGAAGACCAAGGGUUCCUGUCCAACGUUAAUCGGGGCAGGGUGAGUCGACCCCUAAGGCGAGGCCGAAAGGCGUAGUCGAUGGGAAACGGGUUAAUAUUCCCGUACUUGGUGUUACUGCGAAGGGGGGACGGAGAAGGCUAUGUUGGCCGGGCGACGGUUGUCCCGGUUUAAGCGUGUAGGUGUGUGUUCCAGGUAAAUCCGGUUCACUUUAACACUGAGGCGUGACGACGAGGCACUACGGUGCUGAAGCAACAAAUGCCCUGCUUCCAGGAAAAGCCUCUAAGCAUCAGGUAACAUCAAAUCGUACCCCAAACCGACACAGGUGGUCAGGUAGAGAAUACCAAGGCGCUUGAGAGAACUCGGGUGAAGGAACUAGGCAAAAUGGUGCCGUAACUUCGGGAGAAGGCACGCUGACACGUAGGUGAAGUGAUUUACUCAUGGAGCUGAAGUCAGUCGAAGAUACCAGCUGGCUGCAACUGUUUAUUAAAAACACAGCACUGUGCAAACACGAAAGUGGACGUAUACGGUGUGACGCCUGCCCGGUGCCGGAAGGUUAAUUGAUGGGGUCAGCGCAAGCGAAGCUCCUGAUCGAAGCCCCGGUAAACGGCGGCCGUAACUAUAACGGUCCUAAGGUAGCGAAAUUCCUUGUCGGGUAAGUUCCGACCUGCACGAAUGGCGUAAUGAUGGCCAGGCUGUCUCCACCCGAGACUCAGUGAAAUUGAACUCGCUGUGAAGAUGCAGUGUACCCGCGGCAAGACGGAAAGACCCCGUGAACCUUUACUAUAGCUUGACACUGAACAUUGAGCCUUGAUGUGUAGGAUAGGUGGGAGGCUUUGAAGUGUGGACGCCAGUCUGCAUGGAGCCGACCUUGAAAUACCACCCUUUAAUGUUUGAUGUUCUAACGUGGACCCGUUACCCGGGUUGCGGACAGUGUCUGGUGGGUAGUUUGACUGGGGCGGUCUCCUCCUAAAGAGUAACGGAGGAGCACGAAGGUUGGCUAAUCCUGGUCGGACAUCAGGAGGUUAGUGCAAUGGCAUAAGCCAGCUUGACUGCGAGCGUGACGGCGCGAGCAGGUGCGAAAGCAGGUCAUAGUGAUCCGGUGGUUCUGAAUGGAAGGGCCAUCGCUCAACGGAUAAAAGGUACUCCGGGGAUAACAGGCUGAUACCGCCCAAGAGUUCAUAUCGACGGCGGUGUUUGGCACCUCGAUGUCGGCUCAUCACAUCCUGGGGCUGAAGUAGGUCCCAAGGGUAUGGCUGUUCGCCAUUUAAAGUGGUACGCGAGCUGGGUUUAGAACGUCGUGAGACAGUUCGGUCCCUAUCUGCCGUGGGCGCUGGAGAACUGAGGGGGGCUGCUCCUAGUACGAGAGGACCGGAGUGGACGCAUCACUGGUGUUCGGGUUGUCAUGCCAAUGGCACUGCCCGGUAGCUAAAUGCGGAAGAGAUAAGUGCUGAAAGCAUCUAAGCACGAAACUUGCCCCGAG
This 2621-nucleotide ribosomal RNA is filed under the name Salmonella enterica subsp. enterica serovar Enteritidis. Its description in RNAcentral is "partial 23S ribosomal RNA". It matches the Rfam family "Bacterial large subunit ribosomal RNA". The record is from RNAcentral. Lineage: Bacteria; Pseudomonadati; Pseudomonadota; Gammaproteobacteria; Enterobacterales; Enterobacteriaceae.